AGUGAACGCUGGCGGUAGGCCUAACACAUGCAAGUCGAACGGCAGCACAGUAAGAGCUUGCUCUUACGGGUGGCGAGUGGCGGACGGGUGAGGAAUACAUCGGAAUCUACUUUUUCGUGGGGGAUAACGUAGGGAAACUUACGCUAAUACCGCAUACGACCUACGGGUGAAAGCAGGGGAUCUUCGGACCUUGCGCGAUUGAAUGAGCCGAUGUCGGACUAGCUAGUUGGCGGGGUAAAGGCCCACCAAGGCGACGAUCCGUAGCUGGUCUGAGAGGAUGAUCAGCCACACUGGAACUGAGACACGGUCCAGACUCCUACGGGAGGCAGCAGUGGGGAAUAUUGGACAAUGGGCGCAAGCCUGAUCCAGCCAUAGCGCGUGGGUGAAGAAGGCCUUCGGGUUGUAAAGCCCUUUUGUUGGGAAAGAAAAGCAGCAGGUUAAUACCCCGCUGUUCUGACGGUACCCAAAGAAUAAGCACCGGCUAACUUCGUG
Molecule: ribosomal RNA, 492 nt
Filed under: uncultured bacterium
Lineage: Bacteria
Description: partial 16S ribosomal RNA
Rfam family: Bacterial small subunit ribosomal RNA
Source: RNAcentral